RNAcentral lists this ribosomal RNA (367 nucleotides) under uncultured organism. RNAcentral's name for it is "bacterial SSU rRNA". It matches the Rfam family "Bacterial small subunit ribosomal RNA", at positions 526 to 896 of the family's 1533-position model. The record is from RNAcentral.
CAUAGGUGGCGAACGUUAUCCGGAAUUAUUGGGCGUAAAGGAUGCGUAGAUGGUAGAAUAAGUUAUUGGUCGAUGCCAAACUCAAUUUGGCGGAAGCUGGUAAUACUGUUCAACUAGAGGGCAGGAGAGGUUGAUGGAAUUCUGUGUGGAGCGGUGAAAUGCGUUGAUCUGCAGAGGAGCACCAAAAAAGGCGAAGGCAUUCAACUAUUCUGUUCCUGACAUUGAGGCAUGAAAGCGUGGGGAGCAAACCGGAUUAGAUACCCGGGUAGUCCACGCCCUAAACGAUGAGCAUUAGAUAUUAGGCAUUUGCUUAGUGUCGCAGCUAACGCUUUAAAUGCUCCGCCUGGGUACUACGGCCGCAAGGCUA